GAUGUCCAAAACCAUUUCCACCGCCCGCCGGCGCCAAGUUUCAUACUCUGCAACUCCGUUCUUCUUCUUCUCUCUGUGUAUCGUACUAAUAUUCUCCAUAACAUGAGCAAGAACUACCGGAACAUCGAGCGGAGAAUCCUCCGCCUCCUUUCCGGCCACAAAUCCCCAACCCAUCUCACUCAAAUCCACGCCCACUUCCUCCGUCAUGACCUUCACCAAUCCAACCAAAUCCUCGCCCAUUUCAUCUCCAUUUGCGGAGCUUCCAACGAAAUUGCCUAUGCCAAUCGCGUCUUUUCCCAAUCCCAAAAUCCCAACAUUUUCCUUUUCAAUUCCAUGAUCAAAGCCCAUUCCCUUUCCGGCCCCUUCCAACAAUCCCUUCUCCUGUUUUCCUCCAUGAAGAAUCGCAGGAUUGUUCCUGACGAGUACACUUUCGCGCCGCUGCUUAAAUCGUGUUCGAAUCUUUAUGAUUAUCGGCUUGGUAAGUGCGUUAUUGGUGAAGUUUUGCGUCGUGGAUUUGAGUGUUUUGGGUCUAUUCGUAUUGGGGUGGUUGAGUUGUAUGUUUGUUGUGAGAAGAUGGAUGAUGCACAGAAGGUGUUCGAUGAAAUGCCUCGCAGGGAUGUGGUUGUUUGGAACUUGAUGAUUCGUGGGUUUUGCAAGAUGGGUAAUGUUGAUUUGGGGUUAUCUCUCUUUAGGCAAAUGAAUGAUCGUAGCCUCGUUUCUUGGAACACAACUAUUUCCUGUUUAGCUCAAAGUGGGCGUGAUGUUGAAGCUUUGGAACUCUUUCAACAAAUAGAAGAACAUGGUUUUGAACCAGAUGAGGUAACUGUGGUCACAAUGUUGCCUGUAUGCUCUCGUUUGGGAGCUCUUGAUGUUGGACAAAUGAUCCAUUCUUAUGCAACUUCCAAGGCAGAUUUAAUGAAUACAACAAUGGUAGGGAAUUCGCUUAUCGAUUUCUACUGUAAAUCUGGCAAUACAGAAAGAGCUUACAACAUUUUCCAGAAAAUGACUUGCAAAAAUGUUGUUUCAUGGAACACAAUGAUCUUAGGCUUUGCUUUGAAUGGGAAGGGAGAGCUUGCCAUUGACCUUUUCAUGGAGAUGGGACGAGGGGAUGUGAAGCCGAACGACGCGACACUCGUAGCCAUCUUGACUGCUUGUGUUCAUUCAGGAUUGUUAGAGAAGGGUCGAGAGGUGUUUUCUUCAAUGGCUGAGAAGUAUGAGAUUGAGCCAAAACUUGAACAUUUUGGUUGUAUGGUUGAUCUUUUGGGACGUGGUGGAUGCGUGGAGGAGGCUCAUAGCUUGAUUAGAAGUAUGCCAAUGCAGCCAAAUGCCACUUUGUGGGGUGCUUUGCUUGGUGCUUGCAGAACUCAUGGUAACUUGAAACUUGCAGAAAUGGCAGCUAAUGAGCUCAUCAGUCUUGAACCAUCGAACUCUGGUAAUUAUGUGUUGCUAUCUAAUAUAUUGGCUGAAGAAGGACGAUGGAAAGAUGUUGAGAAUGUCCGAUGCUCGAUGAGAGGAAAAAACGUCAAGAAAGCCCCGGGGCGGAGUGCAAGUGGGUAAUCUCGGGGUGAAAAAGUACUCAAACGGAGACCUGCAUUAUUUAACGUACUUCGUUGAUAUGAACCUUUCUUACAACAUGUAGGGAAAGCCCCAAGUCUUCUAGAAUUAUCUUUGACGAGCUUAUCAUAGCUUGAAUACAAGUGACUGUUGUAACUUCUUGGCUCUCGUCCAAUAAUUGAGUCUUGAUGUAUGGAAAUUCAUAAAUAGUGAAAACGUUCUA
Cucurbita moschata (crookneck pumpkin) is the source of this 1777-nucleotide RNA transcript. It is a transcript of the gene named pentatricopeptide repeat-containing protein At1g09190, with no coding region annotated. The record is from RefSeq and is a predicted model, not a curated record. NCBI's taxonomy places the organism in Eukaryota, Viridiplantae, Streptophyta, Magnoliopsida, Cucurbitales, Cucurbitaceae. The transcript is spliced from 2 exons.